UUAGCGGGUUAACGGCCGCUACCAACUCCUCAGCUUCCGGACGAGGCUGCAAGACGCAUGCGCGGCGCCGGCGCUGCGCGCCCAUUGGACUUGAUGAGCUUGCUCCGGAAGACCUCGGGCCGCGCCGGCUUGGCGCCUGCGCACUAGCGCGGGAGCGGCUUUCCGGCUCCGUGAGUUUCACUCUUACAAAGAGAGCUGUUCUGUGGUGUCUCCCGGCUCCUCUCUGAAGUGAGGCAAGGGUAUGUAACGGACCUUCACCUACUGGACGAUGCCUGACACUGAUUGAGUUAGCUGUAAAUGGUUGCUGAAUGAAGACUCAACAGGUGCCUGAUGUGGCGACUUUAGUUCAGCCCUCGCUCCUAGUCAGAAGCCCCAAGUGGUGCUUACGGAUAUCCCCUUCAAAGCAUCCCUGUUCGGGAGUUACAGCAGAAAAGUGAGGCAGACAGGUGAAAGAGUAAAUCUUUUGAUGUCCGUCAAAUCCCAACACAUAGGCAACUGACCAGUCUGCUUCUGUAGGCUGAAUCCCACAGAUUUGUGUGAGAGCUGCUACACUCACUCUUUCCAUAGUCUCUCUCCUAGUUGAGCAGGGGCAGAAGUUAGUAUUAAAUAGCUAACAAUUGAGUAGAUCAUAUGGUAAAGGAUGCUAGUUUAUGUGCUAAGCAAUUUACAUGUAUUGUCUCUCCGUCCUCACAACCACCCCAAGAAGGAGAUACAAUUACCUUCUCCAUUUUAUAGAGAAAGAAACUGAGGCUCAGAGAAAUUCAUUGGCCGGAAAAGCACUCCGCCUGCACCCAUCAGGUCAGGUUGAUUUAGUCAGCCCUCACUGAGCAUCUGUAUUUGUCCUGUAGAGCUGAUGUCUGUAAACACAAGUGUAUGGGUGGGUCUCCUACCCUCAAGGAGCUAAUAAUAUAAUUGAGGAGACAAGAUAUAUUUGCUUGAUAGAUUUCACUCCAGAGACAUCUAGAAACCAGUAGAAGAGAUGCUGGUUGACAUACAAUGUGUGAUUUAACCCAUAUGGAGGAUCUGAAUCCAUUUUGCAUGUGUCCACAUCAAUAUCUGGUUUUGGACCAUGAUGUUCUAAAAGUGAAGGUCCAGAGCUGUGUACUUCCCUGUGUAGGCCUGGCUCAGAAUGUCAGACAUAAGGCACUUCAUAGAGGCAUUAUAAUGAUGAUGACAGCUGUACCCUCCGUGACUCACCAUGUAACCAGUGUCCUGCCAAGAAGCAGUACAGAGGAUGUCCAUCAAUGACAGUUUCUCCUCAUUCUAUCUGUGCCCCCUCCCCCACUCCAACCCAGCUAUUCAUUAACUUUGUAGAAUUAUCUUGGCAUUGAAAAAUAAACAGUGACAGAUUGCAGAUGGGUUUUAUCUGCUCCUAGGAAUCUCAGGUUGCUUAGUUGUAGGUUUGAAGUAGCCACUGCAAUGUGGUGAACUAGCAUGCAGCAUGGACUUGCUGUCUUCUUCAGAUGACUGUGAAAUGAGACAGUUGGGGCUACACUCGGAGCUCAGUUAUCAGCAUCCAGAAGGAAGCUGGAGCAAAACAGCAGUGUAAGACCAACCAAAGAGAAGAGCAAUCUAGAUUGAGAACAUGAAAAGACUGUAACUGUCCAGCUGGUGGGUUCAGCAGAGGUAUUCCGAAGCUGGGAGAGCAGAAAUCCACCCCAAUUUGUCUGGAACUGAGAGAUUUCCUGGCAUUCCUGACUUUUGGUGCUAAAAUUGGCAAGCCCAGAGCAAACUGGGAUAGCUGAUCAUCCUAGGAGAGCCUGAAGUAAAUAAAGAAGCAAGGAAGUUGGAUUCUCCAUGGAUGUGCUAGCAGUUGGUAGAGACUGGUAGGUAAGAUUAUGCCUAGAGAUAUCCAUAAGUCUGAGCUGAAAAGAGAUGGGGAUCCAGAGAACCCUCUGAACUUAACAUCUGGAAGGAGGGCCAGGGUUUGCCAUCCAAGGUGGCUAUUAGUGAUCUCUACUAAUAACAUCCAUUUAGCGCCUAUUAUAUGCAGUAUUUAGUUCUCUCUAGCUUCUGCAGGUAAUGCUAAGGAAGUGAAAGGCAGUCCCCACAUCCAAGGAAAGGCUGAACAAUUAUCUAGCCAGAGUCAUCUUAUCAAUUCCCACCACCACACCACAUCUCAAAACAGUUUUUCCUCCUAACCUCCCUAUUUUGGGCAAUGUUAUUACUAUUUUCCUCGUUACCCAGGCUGAAAAACAUGAGUGUCAUAUUUCAGUCUUCCCUAAUCCUCACCCCAACAUAGCCAUUCAAUUACACAGUCCUAAUAAUUGUACUACUGCAAUGUCUAUAAAAUGCAUCUCUUCCAGUCACAGUCCUAUUCUGACUCAUUAUCACAUGCUUCCUGGCUCUUCCCGAACUCCUCUAACUGUCCAAGCCCCUAUUCUCCAGUCUUUUCUCUCACUUCUCCCGGAUACAAAUGCUCGACAUCAGCCAGGCUCCAAGUCUAGCCAUUCUCUGGAUGGCCCCUUUCAUUACCCAAGCUAGACGCUUCUGCUGAGAGAGCCCCAUACCUCUCUUACUAAAAUCCGACCAAACUCCAAACCCCCAUCAAGUCAUUUCUCAUGCAAGAAACCUUUCCUAAUCUUGCCAGCCCACAGUGAUGGCUCCCACAUCUGGACUCUUCAGCACCAUAAGACUCCUUUAUGUUCGCCCCCAAGAAAGACUGUGAGAUCCUGGAAGAUAUUGACUGAGCACCUAUUAUGUGCCAGACACUGUACUAAGUGCUGAGGUUAUAACAGUAAACAAGUUGAUCCAAAACAACGUCACGAGCAGGAAAGUUGACUCAAGAGGACCCAUAAAUCUAACCAGUAUGCCAUCCUGUCCUGACCUGCUCCCA
Molecule: non-coding RNA, 2836 nt
Organism: Microcebus murinus (gray mouse lemur)
Lineage: Eukaryota; Metazoa; Chordata; Mammalia; Primates; Cheirogaleidae
Source: RefSeq, a predicted model, not a curated record